Molecule: ribosomal RNA, 233 nt
Filed under: uncultured bacterium
Lineage: Bacteria
Description: partial 16S ribosomal RNA
Rfam family: Bacterial small subunit ribosomal RNA
Source: RNAcentral
CGGGGUGGAGUAACGCGUGGAUAACCUGCCUCACACUGGGGGAUAACAGUUAGAAAUGACUGCUAAUACCGCAUAAGCGCACAGUACCGCAUGGUACGGUGUGAAAAACUCCGGUGGUGUGAGAUGGAUCCGCGUCUGAUUAGCCAGUUGGCGGGGUAACGGCCCACCAAAGCGACGAUCAGUAGCCGACCUGAGAGGGUGACCGGCCACAUUGGGACUGAGACACGGCCCAA